AACGCUAGCUACAGGCUUAACACAUGCAAGUCGAGGGGCAGCAUGGUCUUAGCUUGCUAAGGCUGAUGGCGACCGGCGCACGGGUGAGUAACACGUAUCCAACCUGCCGUCUACUCUUGGCCAGCCUUCUGAAAGGAAGAUUAAUCCAGGAUGGGGAUCAUGAGUUCACAUGUCCGCAUGAUUAAAGGUAUUUUCCGGUAGACGAUGGGGAUGCGUUCCAUUAGAUAGUAGGCGGGGUAACGGCCCACCUAGUCAACGAUGGAUAGGGGUUCUGAGAGGAAGGUCCCCCACAUUGGAACUGAGACACGGUCCAAACUCCUACGGGAGGCAGCAGUGAGGAAUAUUGGUCAAUGGGCGAUGGCCUGAACCAGCCAAGUAGCGUGAAGGAUGACUGCCCUAUGGGUUGUAAACUUCUUUUAUAAAGGAAUAAAGUCGGGUAUGCAUACCCGUUUGCAUGUACUUUAUGAAUAAGGAUCGGCUAACUCCGUGCCAGCAGCCGCGGUAAUACGGAGGAUCCGAGCGUUAUCCGGAUUUAUUGGGUUUAAAGGGAGCGUAGAUGGAUGUUUAAGUCAGUUGUGAAAGUUUGCGGCUCAACCGUAAAAUUGCAGUUGAUACUGGAUGUCUUGAGUGCAGUUGAGGCAGGCGGAAUUCGUGGUGUAGCGGUGAAAUGCUUAGAUAUCACGAAGAACUCCGAUUG
Molecule: ribosomal RNA, 697 nt
Filed under: uncultured Bacteroidales bacterium
Lineage: Bacteria; Pseudomonadati; Bacteroidota; Bacteroidia; Bacteroidales
Description: bacterial SSU rRNA
Rfam family: Bacterial small subunit ribosomal RNA
Source: RNAcentral